GACGAACGCUGGCGGCGUGCUUAACACAUGCAAGUCGAACGAUGAAGCGGUGCUUGCACCGUGUUUUAGUGGCGAACGGGUGAGUAAUACGUGAGUGACCUACCUUUGACUCUGGGAUAAGCCUGGGAAACUGGGUCUAAUACCGGAUACGACCAAUCUCUGCAUGGGGUGUUGGUGGAAAGCGUUAUGGAGUGGUUUUAGAUGGGCUCACGGCCUAUCAGCUUGUUGGUGAGGUAAUGGCUUACCAAGGCGACGACGGGUAGCCGGCCUGAGAGGGUGACCGGCCACAAUGGGACUGAGAGACGGCCCAGACUCCUACGGGAGGCAGCAGUGGGGAAUAUUGCACAAUGGGCGCAAGCCUGAUGCAGAGACGCCGCGUGAGGGAUGACGGCCUUCGGGUUGUAAACCUCUGUUAGCAUCGAAGAAGCGAAAGUGACGGUAGGUGCAGAGAAAGCGCCGGCUAACUACGUG
This 471-nucleotide ribosomal RNA is filed under the name uncultured bacterium. RNAcentral describes it as "partial 16S ribosomal RNA". It matches the Rfam family "Bacterial small subunit ribosomal RNA", at positions 28 to 507 of the family's 1533-position model. The record is from RNAcentral.